This is a long non-coding RNA of Nematolebias whitei (Rio pearlfish), 550 nucleotides long. RefSeq lists it as uncharacterized. The record is from RefSeq and is a predicted model, not a curated record. Lineage: Eukaryota; Metazoa; Chordata; Actinopteri; Cyprinodontiformes; Rivulidae. The transcript is spliced from 3 exons.
UUUAAACUGUCCCAAGUGUGUGGUCGUCUGCUUUCAGGGCUGUUUCAGAAAGAAGGAGACGCUCGGAGCAGACACAGUUCAGGUUUGGGGUUGAAACGCGAACUGUCGUGAAUUCAGGGAGAGUUUUAUCCGCCGAGAUACAGACAUGAAGAAUGUGUAACAUUCAGCUGGAAAGGAACGACGAAGCUCUCGCGUUCACCGGUUUGAAACUAAAUUGAACUUCCAGGACGAUGGACGCAGAGAGAUAUUGGGGCUACGCAGACGCAGAGAACUUUUGGCAUGUGUCACAGAAAUCAGGAGAUGUGGAUCUGAGGAGCAGCGACGGAGAGGGAUGGAAGCUGGUGGAGGUGUUUCUAUCAGGAGGGGCGCCGUGGGGGUUUACACUCAGAGGAGGACUGGAGCAUCGAGAGCCACUCCUCAUAACCAAGGUUGAGGAGCGUAGCAAGGCAGCAGCGGUGAGUCUCCAUGUGGGAGACGAACUCGUCAACAUCAACGAUGUUCCCCUGAGUGGCUACAGACAGGAGGCAAUCUGCCUGGUGAAAGGCUCCCA